UUCCUCUGUUUCUUGGAUCUCUCUCUCUCUCUCUGGGGUUAAACCCUAAGAGGACCCGUGCUAUGACCUGCCCGUCCCGUCUCUCUUCUCUCUUCUGUUGGUUCUUGGAAUGUUCGAUGCUGCGCCUCUCCUUAUUGAUCCCCCAUCGGAGUUCUUUGGGGGUUCUUUCUUGGGAGUUCUAGGAACUCCAUUGGUGCCGGGAAGGAAUCUUGGUCAUCAACGAAUCCAAGAAACCAUGUCAUGAGAGAGAAAGAGAGAGUAGAUUGGCUGAAAGCAUGCAGACCCAGAGUUCUCCCACGCGCUUCUUCAUCGCCUUGUCCUCGUUGAUUACCUGAUAGAGCAGACUUCGGAGACGAGAGAGAAGUUUCAGGCAGUCGCGAAGCUGUCGCUGUUGCCCUGCUGUCGUUGGAUCCGAGGUGUGGAGAAUGGUUUGGAUGUUCCCCAUGGGAUACGCCCUGCUGCCGUUGUUGGUUCCCGCAGCAAAGACGACGAACAAAAACCAGACGAUCUGAAGACGCAGCAACUCCGGAAUCUGCAGGAUCAAUCGGCAGCUGCCUUGCAGCGAAAGAUCGAAGAAAGAACCAACCAGUAAAUCUUCCAUCAAAAACGAAUAUGUUUGUCAACACCGAUACCUUCUCUGCUCGUGCCCACUUCGGUGCCGGGAAGGAAUCUUGGUGGGUUCGGGACCUCUGAGACCGCAUGUAUGAUCUCCAUCCAAGAAAAGAUCUCGAAGGGCCCGGCGGAAUCCCCCUCAUCUCCAGGCCUUCUUGCCAUCGGUGACCUGUAUGUACUCCACCAAGAAGGAAGCUGAUGGUUGGUUCUUUCUAUGUCUCUCUUUCUUCCUUCCAAUCUUGUGGUAAUAUUGAAUCUAGUUGCUAUUCUGACGGAAACCGUUCAACGAAUGUAGUCAGACGUCUGACGAGAAGGAUUCGGAAGUAUGGCACACUGCGACGGGAAUGCAGCGAUCCGGAUGAUUAAAGCCUGGUUUGCCAUCUUCGCGUGAAGAAGCAGAAAUGAAGCUCAUGGCCUUGAGAGAUUUGAUUGGGGCAAAGGAGAACAGGGUCGCAUGAUCAAUUUGAUGCAUCGCUGAUAAACAACGAAGAUUGCCAGCACAAAGAUUGAACAACUGGAGGAUCAUAUUAAGACCUUGGCAAAUGAUCAAGAACAGCCAAAACAACCCAGGGCAAGAAAGCAGAGUUGUGACGGAAGUGAACAAUAAAGGAUCUGUAAGUUCAUCGUUUGGCACCGAGGUUUUCUAAAGACACGAUGGAUGAUACUGAGCAGACCAGUAGGGACCCUGUACCACUGCUAGGUUUGAAGCAAUUUUCCGCCGAUCCUAGUCUCUAAAUCUACGAUUUAAGUUUUGCCAUUGGUUGAUUAUCCUCUUCCUUCAAAAGUGGCUCAUGCUUCCAUUGGUCAAUUUUUAUGCUUAAAACAUGAAAUUCAAAAUGGAACUGGAUUUUUUUUGUCCUGGCAAUUACUUUUUGGCAAUAG
Molecule: long non-coding RNA, 1494 nt
Organism: Musa acuminata AAA Group (dessert banana)
Lineage: Eukaryota; Viridiplantae; Streptophyta; Magnoliopsida; Zingiberales; Musaceae
Exons: 6
Source: RefSeq, a predicted model, not a curated record